AUGAACUCUCUCCAUUUCCCUCCCAAAAAUCAAAGCUUGCUCCCUCUUCCCUCUCCAUUGCUGCCAUUUUCUCUCUAAGGAGCAAGAGAACUCUUUCCCCAUUGAACAAGGGGAGAAGUCCAAGAGCACACUAAGGAAGAGCAAGGUUCAACAGAGGUGGUUCUAGGAGAAUCCCAAAGUUGAGGCUUUUUGGUGAUCUAGUGAAAACAAAGGUAAGUACAAAAGUAAAGUGGAGCAGUGAGUGCCGGAGUCUGCUUGUGGAUAUGUACAUAUGGCCUGACCUAGGGAGGAUUUUGAUGGAUUACCAUUUUGAAAAGAAACGUUGGGAGCUUGUUAUUUCUUUUAUGACAUUUGUUUUGCUUUAACUCUAUAAAAGAGUAGUUGUAAUUCUGUUUGCUAAAACUAAAAGU
Long non-coding RNA from Humulus lupulus (European hop), 410 nucleotides. RefSeq lists it as uncharacterized. Lineage: Eukaryota; Viridiplantae; Streptophyta; Magnoliopsida; Rosales; Cannabaceae. The record is from RefSeq and is a predicted model, not a curated record. The transcript has 3 exons.